Molecule: ribosomal RNA, 492 nt
Filed under: uncultured bacterium
Lineage: Bacteria
Description: partial 16S ribosomal RNA
Rfam family: Bacterial small subunit ribosomal RNA
Source: RNAcentral
AGUGAACGCUGGCGGUAGGCCUAACACAUGCAAGUCGAACGGCAGCACAGUAAGAGCUUGCUCUUACGGGUGGCGAGUGGCGGAAGGGUGAGGAAUACAUCGGAAUCUACUUUUUCGUGGGGGAUAACGUAGGGAAACUUACGCUAAUACAGCAUACGACCUACGGGUGAAAGCAGGGGAUCUUCGGACCUUGCGCGAUUGAAUGAGCCGAUGUCGGAUUAGCUAGUUGGCGGGGUAAAGGCCCACCAAGGCGACGAUCCGUAGCUGGUCUGAGAGGAUGAUCAGCCACACUGGAACUGAGACACGGUCCAGACUCCUACGGGAGGCAGCAGUGGGGAAUAUUGGACAAUGGGCGCAAGCCUGAUCCAGCCAUACCGCGUGGGUGAAGAAGGCCUUCGGGUUGUAAAGCCCUUUUGUUGGGAAAGAAAAGCAGCAGGUUAAUACCCCGCUGUUCUGACGGUACCCAAAGAAUAAGCUCCGGCUAACUUCGUG